Molecule: ribosomal RNA, 300 nt
Filed under: uncultured Mycoplasma sp.
Lineage: Bacteria; Bacillati; Mycoplasmatota; Mollicutes; Mycoplasmatales; Mycoplasmataceae
Description: bacterial SSU rRNA
Rfam family: Bacterial small subunit ribosomal RNA
Source: RNAcentral
GAUGAACGCUGGCUGUGUGCCUAAUACAUGCAUGUCGAACGAAGCACUUGUGCUUAGUGGCGAAUGGGUGAGUAACACGUACUUAAUCUGCCCUUCAGAGUGGGACAACAGUUGGAAACGACUGCUAAUACCGCAUACGUAUAUUAAUCGCAUGAUUGAUAUAUAAAAGAGGCGUUUGCCUCGCUGAUGGAUGAGAGUGCGCCAUAUUAGCUAGUUGGUAGGGUAAUGGCCUACCAAGGCGAUGAUAUGUAGCGGGGUCGAGAGGCUGAACCGCCACACUGGGACUGAGAUACGGCCCAG